UACGUAGGGACCAAGCGUUAUUCGGAUUUACUGGGCGUAAAGGGCGCGUAGGCGGCGCGGUAAGUCACUUGUGAAAUCUCUGAGCUUAACUCAGAACGGCCAAGUGAUACUGCAGUGCUAGAGUGUGGAAGGGGCAAUCGGAAUUCUUGGUGUAGCGGUGAAAUGCGUAGAUAUCAAGAGGAACACCUGAGGUGAAGACGGGUUGCUGGGCCAACACUGACGCUGAUGCGCGAAAGCCAGGGGAGCAAACGGG
This 253-nucleotide ribosomal RNA is filed under the name uncultured bacterium. RNAcentral describes it as "partial 16S ribosomal RNA". It matches the Rfam family "Bacterial small subunit ribosomal RNA", at positions 524 to 776 of the family's 1533-position model. The record is from RNAcentral.